AGGGUCGCUAAGCCGCGAGGUGGGGCCAAUCUCAUAAAACCGAUCGUAGUCCGGAUCGCACUCUGCAACUCGAGUGCGUGAAGUCGGAAUCGCUAGUAAUCGCAGAUCAGCAUGCUGCGGUGAAUACGUUCCCGGGUCUUGUACACACCGCCCGUCACACCAUGGGAGUGAGUUUCACCAGAAGUGGGUAGGCUAACCGCAAGGAGGCCGCUUACCACGGUGGGAUUCAUGACUGGGGUGAAGUCGUAACAAGGUAGCCGUAGGGGAACCUGCGGCUGGAUCACCUCCUUUCUAG
RNAcentral lists this ribosomal RNA (295 nucleotides) under Pseudomonas sp. MWU12-2534b. RNAcentral describes it as "partial 16S ribosomal RNA". It matches the Rfam family "Bacterial small subunit ribosomal RNA", at positions 1243 to 1533 of the family's 1533-position model. The record is from RNAcentral. Lineage: Bacteria; Pseudomonadati; Pseudomonadota; Gammaproteobacteria; Pseudomonadales; Pseudomonadaceae.